AUACCUUUCUCGGCCUUUUGGCUAAGAUCAAGUGUAGUAUCUGUUCUUAUCAGUAUAAUAUCUGAUACGUGGGCCAUUGGCUCACAUGAUAUUAAAUUAAUUUUUUAUUGGGGAGGACCCACUGCAGUAGCUUGCUACUGGGGUCUUCAAGGGUCGCCCAUUCGUUGCACUAUAGCAAGGGCCUGGCGCACCCACC
This is a non-coding RNA of Jatropha curcas, 196 nucleotides long. The record is from Rfam. NCBI's taxonomy places the organism in Eukaryota, Viridiplantae, Streptophyta, Magnoliopsida, Malpighiales, Euphorbiaceae.